UAUGUCUAACGAUACCAUGGUGAUGAG
RNAcentral lists this small RNA (27 nucleotides) under Bombyx mori (domestic silkworm). RNAcentral describes it as "ovarian small RNA-24023". Lineage: Eukaryota; Metazoa; Arthropoda; Insecta; Lepidoptera; Bombycidae. The record is from RNAcentral.